CGGUGUUCAACUGGCGUGUCCGCGGGACGUCCUGCCGGUGGGCUUAGCCCGCAAGGGCGGCCCAACUUCAAAUCCCAUCGCGGUGCUCUUCACUGAGUGUCGAGGUGGGCCGGCACGUUUACUUUGAACAAAUUAGAGUGCUUAAAGCAGGCUAAAACUUCGCCUGAAUACUGUGUGCAUGGAAUAAUGGAAUAGGACCUCGGUUCUAUUUUGUUGGUUUUCGGAACCCGGAGGUAAUGAUUAAUAGGAACGGAUGGGGGCAUUCGUAUUGCGACGUUAGAGGUGAAAUUCUUGGAUCGUCGCAAGACGGACAGAAGCGAAAGCAUUUGCCAAAAACGCUUUCAUUGAUCAAGAACGAAAGUUAGAGGUUCGAAGGCGAUCAGAUACCGCCCUAGUUCUAACCAUAAACGAUGCCAGCUAGCGAUCCGUCGACGUUCCUCCGAUGACUCGACGGGCAGCUUCCGGGAAACCAAAGCUUUUGGGUUCCGGGGGAAGUAUGGUUGCAAAGCUGAAACUUAAAGGAAUUGACGGAAGGGCACCACCAGGAGUGGAGCCUGCGGCUUAAUUUGACUCAACACGGGAAACCUCACCAGGCCCAGACACCGGAAGGAUUGACAGAUUGAGAGCUCUUUCUUGAUUCGGUGGGUGGUGGUGCAUGGCCGUUCUUAGUUGGUGGAGCGAUUUGUCUGGUUAAUUCCGAUAACGAACGAGACUCUAGCCUGCUAACUAGGCGUAUUUUCGACAUCUCAAAGGUCCGUCGUCCCGGCCCUCGGGUCGUGGGCGUGCGCGAUUUUUACUGUCGGCGUACUAUCAAUUCUUCUUAGAGGGACAGGUGGCUUCUAGCCGCACGAGAUUGAGCAAUAACAGGUCUGUGAUG
Molecule: ribosomal RNA, 877 nt
Filed under: uncultured eukaryote
Lineage: Eukaryota
Description: SSU rRNA
Rfam family: Eukaryotic small subunit ribosomal RNA
Source: RNAcentral